AACAUUGUGGAGAGGAAAGCAUUAGGGGAGCCCACGGCUACAAAAACAAGUGAGUGAGAAGAGGUGGGAGGAAGAGAAACUACGCCACCUCCCCUGCAGCCGAGUGCACGCAGCAGCCUGGCGUGACAAGUGGGCGACGCCGGGGGGCAGGGAGCCGGGGUCCUUGGCCCUGGCCGGGGACCCCACCGCCCACCGCGCGGAGGACAACUUUUAGCCGGCAGCCCAGACCAGCGCGGCACCUGUCUCCGGAGUCUCCACCGCUCCUCCCGAUUCAUCCCAGGGAAAUUCUCAAGAAUACGCUCUACAAAUCUACGUGCGCAUCAUUUUCACCUCGCGUCGCGCCCGGGAGGAAGGAACGAGGCAAGGAGCUAAAGCAGCGUGCGUUCAGCCCUGGGGAGGAAAAUGGAAGAAACGGAGAUACUUUUAGUGAAGCAGAAUAAACCACUGAACAGCGUUGGCUGAAAAACAUAAGGUCUGUUUCAUCUUCAUAAAAACGCUGCUUUCAGUGCACUGGAUUUAUUUUACAACCCACUAAUGGAUUACCCUACAGUUUGAAAAACAUUGCGUUAGACCAGUUUGACUGUUGUCAAGAACCAAAAAAGGAAAAAUGAGGAAGCUGUGAGUACCAGUGGAAGGAACGAGCCAGGAAGAGGGACUGGAACCAUCUCAGAAGCCAUGCCCCUCAGGCUGGAACUUGCCCUGUCUCCUCGCAGAUGAGCUACCUCUUGUGUUUAAGAAUUAAAGGAAGAUGAGCUAGGAAUCAAGAAAUACGCAGAACUGAUUCCUGUCACUGGCGCCACCCUGCCACUUGCCCAGAGCUGUGGUAUAAAUUUUUUUAAUAGGCUGAAAUAAAAAUAUGAAUAGCAUUUUGGUAUUAAGCAUUAAAUUGAUAAAGGCUAUGAGAUACACCUGCUCUCAACCAUGUUAAUUUUUUAUUAUUGGUAUUAAUAAAUUAUUACUUACUAACAUAUUAACAAGAAUUGCAUUGAGAAACAAAGCAUCCACAGGCCAAAUCUUCUGAAUUUCAAAUGUUUAUAUUAAUGCGUUGUAUUCUAGAAAAGUAGAAUUGUCUUAAGUAGCUUUGUAAUAUAAAGUCAUCUAUCAGCCCAUUACACCUAUUAGAAUGUUUUAACCUUUAUUUCCCACUUUUUUGUUUCUAGACUGAGUGUACUUGGUCUGGUAUUUGUGGCAUAACUUACGGAACACAUAAGAAUGAUACAGAUACUAUUUAAUGAUGACCUAAUACAAGCUUAGAUAGCUAAGGUGAAAGCUUCUAUGGCCUUAACAUUUUCCUCUUGAAGAAUGUAUUUUCUGUAAUAAAAUACAGUGGCUACUUGAAAUCUAUAAACUUAUGUGAGGUCUGGAUAAAUCUGAGCAACUUUCUUCUUUGUGCUCCAGGAACCUACGCACUAUAUAUAUAAAUAAAGCUUAAGUAAACAUCA
RNAcentral lists this long non-coding RNA (1442 nucleotides) under Homo sapiens (human). Its description in RNAcentral is "long intergenic non-protein coding RNA, p53 induced transcript". The record is from RNAcentral. Lineage: Eukaryota; Metazoa; Chordata; Mammalia; Primates; Hominidae.